Molecule: transfer RNA, 91 nt
Filed under: Pseudomonadales bacterium
Lineage: Bacteria; Pseudomonadati; Pseudomonadota; Gammaproteobacteria; Pseudomonadales
Description: tRNA-Ser
Rfam family: tRNA
About the family: Transfer RNA (tRNA) molecules are approximately 80 nucleotides in length.
Source: RNAcentral
GGUGAGGUGUCCGAGCGGCUGAAGGAGCACGCCUGGAAAGUGUGUAUACGCUAACCGCGUAUCGAGGGUUCGAAUCCCUCCCUCACCGCCA